CACACACACACACACACACAACACACCACACACACACACACACACACACACACACAAACACCACACACACACACAAACACCACACACAGACACACACACACACACACAUACACAGAGUUCUUUUUUUACUCAAAAAUAAAAUUCAUAUUCAGAAAAAAGAUAAACAAGAGAACCUCCGAAAGUCAGCAUCGUGAUCACCUCUAGUGAGUGGUGGAAUUUAGGCAGAGCCUCUCCCCAUUCAGCAUGCUGUCAUAUACUUUUUUUCAAUUAGCAUACGUCCUGUGGGAAAAUGUUGGCAGCCAGCAUGAGCAGAUGAAAUAGGCUGCCCUCUUUGUAUGCCUGUCACCCCUUCACAAAGGAGGGAUGUUGUUUUGCUGACAGCCCUGAAGAUCACUCAAUCUCAUGUGGCAAAUCCUUCCAGGUCAGAAGCAAAUCGAGCUAAAGCAGUGAAUUUGAAAGCACAGCCAGGCCCACGUGUUCUCUUCUGAGCUCAGGGAGACCAGUACAAGCGGCUCCAGGGCCAAAAGCAGCGAAACGCUCACUAGCACAAAUGUGACAGCAAUAUUUUUGUUCACCGAUUUACAAAAGGCGGGGGCAGGGGUUCCAACCCUGGAAAAGUACCCCCUUGUACUUUUGCACAGUGAAUUCCUUAGGGAACUUCAGACUGGGAUGUAGGGUGGUGGUGUUCCAUUUGGAUGAUUUUCUCAUGAAUAGUGUGGAGGCCAAAGAAAGUCCGUAACUGAUCGGCCCCUUCGGAGCAGGAAAUGCUAUUAAGACUUUCUUCUUCUUUUUUUUUUUUUUUUUCCUCAGUUUUUUUUUUUUUUCUUUCUUUCUUUUAAAGUGCAGCCACGUUGUGAUAUGACACCACCCUGUUGCGGGGCUGUAAGUACUGCUGUUCCGGCCAAGCCUCUCCUGGGCCCUCGAGCGCAGAUUAGCAUGGAGGGACCAACUUUUUCAUUUGCAUCUGAAAGUGCCCGCCACAAACAGCUGAGGCAGCAUUUCUGCAAAGGCGGAGAGGACUUGAAUGUGUCCUCGAGGUCAGUCUGUCUGAGGGCUCUACCUCCCUGAGAGAGAAUUCUGGAUUUCGUCCUGACGCUCUGCCCUUCCACAGAAGUAGCCCCAUCACAGAAGAAAUACCCUAUUCAUUUGGGAAUCACAACACAGUUUUCAGUUCUGUAAUCUCUCCAUGUACUCUAUCUUUCUGGCUCUUCUUCCUGCUGCGUCUCUUCCUGUCUGUCACCAGAGAGGGGAUGUGGUCUCCUAGUCCUUUAUUUCAUCAUUUGCAAAUGUGAGGGGGCACAGUCCGUGAAGUCGGACAGAUUACAGCUCUCCAGCCCUGGGAAUCCUAUCGGCUUUUCCCUCCCAGUUGUCCUCACUCUGUGCAGGGUUCUGGAUCAUCGUCACUUAGCUUUUGAGCAGUCUUGCUGUUCUCACAAGUCUAACUUCACUCAGCCAUCUCAUCCAUCACCUAUGCACAGCACAAGCAGGACCUGCCUGUCCCUGGAAGCCUUCCUCUUCAUAAGACAGUCUCCAGCCAGGUGAUGUUUCUCUGCCACAGGUUCAGGAGGUGGCAGACAUGUAGACUCAUGACGUAACUUGCCUGAUAUCAGAGGGUGUGUGAUAUUAAUGUGUUAUCAGAAACAAGCCAAUGGGAGGUUGUAACUCAGUGGUGAAAAGUCUACUUCCAUGGUCAAGGUCAUGGGUUCCUUCCCCAGCUUCACAAACAAAGCAGAACAACCCUAAUUAGUGGAUAUGUUGUACUGGUCAGAAGUUAGCCAAAGCCUUCAGCUGCAAAGCAAAAACAUGACAAAAUCUAUCGCUCCAAGAUCAUGAGAGCCCCCAAACUAAAGCAAAGGGGCAAAUGAAUCACCAUGUAUGACUCACAGUUACUGGCGGGAUGUCAAAACCAUGUAGCCCUGAGUUAAAGUCCUAUCUUUACCCCUUUUGGGCUCUAAGCCAUGGCAGAACCCAUUUGAGCUACAAGGAGUACAAAUUCGCUCUUGCCAACAUAAACUCUACAGGGGCAGGGGAAGGGUAUUUUUAUAAAGAAAACAGUGUCAUUCAAAGAAUGAAAAGAAGAGCUGAAAGCCUGGCCACUCCAGAGAUCUUGGCAGGAUGUUCAGCGUUCUGUUUCUUUAGGACACUUAGACAACCCUACUCUUGAUGACUUUUGAGUUCUGGCCUGCAAUCUCCACACAGAAUGCAAGUUUUCAGACCAGAGAUCUUGACUGGCCAGCUAGGAUAUGUGCAGCACUUUGUGGGCUGUGAUUGGACAGAG
This 2278-nucleotide long non-coding RNA is filed under the name Cricetulus griseus (Chinese hamster). RNAcentral describes it as "lncRNA (ENSCGRG00015042843.1)". The record is from RNAcentral. Lineage: Eukaryota; Metazoa; Chordata; Mammalia; Rodentia; Cricetidae.